RNAcentral lists this non-coding RNA (24 nucleotides) under Arabidopsis thaliana (thale cress). Lineage: Eukaryota; Viridiplantae; Streptophyta; Magnoliopsida; Brassicales; Brassicaceae. The record is from RNAcentral.
UUUAAAGAAAUGAGGGAGCUCAUU